UAAAAAUUUAUUUAUUUUAGGUAGUAACAGAUUUCUUGAAACCUAAAGAAUUUGGCGGUAUUUUAAAUAAUUAGAGGAACCUGUUAAAUAAAUGAUAAUCCACAACAUAUCUUACCUAAAUUAAGUUUGUAUACCGUUGUUUUCAGAUUAUAUUUAAAGAUUAUGAUCGGAAUUAAUAAAUUUUUAUAAAUCAAAUCAAGGUGCAGCACAUUUAGGUUUUAAUGGGUUACAAUAUAUUUAUAUACACGAAUAAAUCAUGAAAGAAUUUUUUGAAGGUGGAUUUAAAAGUAAUUUAAAAUUAAAAUGUUUAAAUGAAUAAAAAUUUAAAAUAUGC
This 334-nucleotide ribosomal RNA is filed under the name Brachistosternus chango. RNAcentral describes it as "partial 12S small subunit ribosomal RNA". The record is from RNAcentral. Lineage: Eukaryota; Metazoa; Arthropoda; Arachnida; Scorpiones; Bothriuridae.